CUUUUACAAUGAAGAGUUUGAUCCUGGCUCAGGAUGAACGCUAGCUACAGGCUUAACACAUGCAAGUCGAGGGGCAGCAUUUUAGUUUGCUUGCAAACUAAAGAUGGCGACCGGCGCACGGGUGAGUAACACGUAUCCAACCUGCCGAUAACUCGGGGAUAGCCUUUCGAAAGAAAGAUUAAUAUCCGAUAGUAUAUUAAAACCGCAUGGUUUUACUAUUAAAGAAUUUCGGUUAUCGAUGGGGAUGCGUUCCAUUAGUUUGUUGGCGGGGUAACGGCCCACCAAGACUACGAUGGAUAGGGGUUCUGAGAGGAAGGUCCCCCACAUUGGAACUGAGACACGGUCCAAACUCCUACGGGAGGCAGCAGUGAGGAAUAUUGGUCAAUGGACGAGAGUCUGAACCAGCCAAGUAGCGUGAAGGAUGACUGCCCUAUGGGUUGUAAACUUCUUUUAUAUGGGAAUAAAGUAUUCCACGUGUGGGAUUUUGUAUGUACCAUAUGAAUAAGGAUCGGCUAACUCCGUGCCAGCAGCCGCGGUAAUACGGAGGAUCCGAGCGUUAUCCGGAUUUAUUGGGUUUAAAGGGAGCGUAGGUGGAUUGUUAAGUCAGUUGUGAAAGUUUGCGGCUCAACCGUAAAAUUGCAGUUGAAACUGGCAGUCUUGAGUACAGUAGAGGUGGGCGGAAUUCGUGGUGUAGCGGUGAAAUGCUUAGAUAUCACGAAGAACUCCGAUUGCGAAGGCAGCUCACUAGACUGCAACUGACACUGAUGCUCGAAAGUGUGGGUAUCAAACAGGAUUAGAUACCCUGGUAGUCCACACAGUAAACGAUGAAUACUCGCUGUUUGCGAUAUACAGUAAGCGGCCAAGCGAAAGCAUUAAGUAUUCCACCUGGGGAGUACGCCGGCAACGGUGAAACUCAAAGGAAUUGACGGGGGCCCGCACAAGCGGAGGAACAUGUGGUUUAAUUCGAUGAUACGCGAGGAACCUUACCCGGGCUUAAAUUGCAUUUGAAUAAUCUGGAAACAGGUUAGCCGCAAGGCAAAUGUGAAGGUGCUGCAUGGUUGUCGUCAGCUCGUGCCGUGAGGUGUCGGCUUAAGUGCCAUAACGAGCGCAACCCUUAUCUUUAGUUACUAACAGGU
RNAcentral lists this ribosomal RNA (1136 nucleotides) under Bacteroides xylanisolvens. Its description in RNAcentral is "bacterial SSU rRNA". It matches the Rfam family "Bacterial small subunit ribosomal RNA", at positions 1 to 1126 of the family's 1533-position model. The record is from RNAcentral. Lineage: Bacteria; Pseudomonadati; Bacteroidota; Bacteroidia; Bacteroidales; Bacteroidaceae.